RNAcentral lists this ribosomal RNA (253 nucleotides) under uncultured bacterium. Its description in RNAcentral is "partial 16S ribosomal RNA". It matches the Rfam family "Bacterial small subunit ribosomal RNA", at positions 524 to 776 of the family's 1533-position model. The record is from RNAcentral.
UACAGAGGUCUCAAGCGUUGUUCGGAUUCAUUGGGCGUAAAGGGUGCGUAGGUGGUGACGCAAGUCUGGUGUGAAAUCUCGGAGCUUAACUCCGAAAUUGCACCGGAUACUGCGUAACUCGAGGACUGUAGAGGAGAUCGGAAUUCACGGUGUAGCAGUGAAAUGCGUAGAUAUCGUGAGGAAGACCAGUUGCGAAGGCGGACCUCUGGGCAGUUCCUGACACUGAGGCACGAAGGCCAGGGGAGCAAACGGG